AGUGAACGCUGGCGGUAGGCCUAACACAUGCAAGUCGAACGGCAGCACAGUAAGAGCUUGCUCUUACGGGUGGCGAGUGGCGGACGGGUGAGGAAUACAUCGGAAUCUACUUUUUCGUGGGGGAUAACGUAGGGAAACUUACGCUAAUACCGCUUACGACCUACGGGUGAAAGCAGGGGAUCUUCGGACCUUGCGCGAUUCAAUGAGCCGAUGUCGGAUUAGCUAGUUGGCGGGGUAAAGGCCCACCAAGGCGACGAUCCGUAGCUGGUCUGAGAGGAUGAUCAGCCACACUGGAACUGAGACACGGUCCAGACUCCUACGGGAGGCAGCAGUGGGGAAUAUUGGACAAUGGGCGCAAGCCUGAUCCAGCCAUGCCGCGUGGGUGAAGGAGGCCUUCGGGUUGUAAAGCCCUUUUGUUGGGAAAGAAAAGCAGCAGGUUAAAACCCCGCUGUUCUGACGGUACCCAAAGAAUAAGCACCGGCUAACUUCGUG
RNAcentral lists this ribosomal RNA (492 nucleotides) under uncultured bacterium. Its description in RNAcentral is "partial 16S ribosomal RNA". It matches the Rfam family "Bacterial small subunit ribosomal RNA", at positions 29 to 507 of the family's 1533-position model. The record is from RNAcentral.